GCUUGCUGCUUCGCUGACGAGUGGCGGACGGGUGAGUAAUGUCUGGGAAACUGCCUGAUGGAGGGGGAUAACUACUGGAAACGGUAGCUAAUACCGCAUAACGUCGCAAGACCAAAGAGGGGGACCUUCGGGCCUCUUGCCAUCGGAUGUGCCCAGAUGGGAUUAGCUAGUAGGUGGGGUAACGGCUCACCUAGGCGACGAUCCCUAGCUGGUCUGAGAGGAUGACCAGCCACACUGGAACUGAGACACGGUCCAGACUCCUACGGGAGGCAGCAGUGGGGAAUAUUGCACAAUGGGCGCAAGCCUGAUGCAGCCAUGCCGCGUGUAUGAAGAAGGCCUUCGGGUUGUAAAGUACUUUCAGCGGGGAGGAAGGGAGUAAAGUUAAUACCUUUGCUCAUUGACGUUACCCGCAGAAGAAGCACCGGCUAACUCCGUGCCAGCAGCCGCGGUAAUACGGAGGGUGCAAGCGUUAAUCGGAAUUACUGGGCGUAAAGCGCACGCAGGCGGUUUGUUAAGUCAGAUGUGAAAUCCCCGGGCUCAACCUGGGAACUGCAUCUGAUACUGGCAAGCUUGAGUCUCGUAGAGGGGGGUAGAAUUCCAGGUGUAGCGGUGAAAUGCGUAGAGAUCUGGAGGAAUAC
Molecule: ribosomal RNA, 638 nt
Filed under: coliform bacterium S2/34
Lineage: Bacteria
Description: bacterial SSU rRNA
Rfam family: Bacterial small subunit ribosomal RNA
Source: RNAcentral